This 440-nucleotide ribosomal RNA is filed under the name uncultured bacterium. Its description in RNAcentral is "partial 16S ribosomal RNA". It matches the Rfam family "Bacterial small subunit ribosomal RNA", at positions 338 to 795 of the family's 1533-position model. The record is from RNAcentral.
CCUACGGGAGGCAGCAGUAGGGAAUAUUGCUCAAUGGGGGAAACCCUGAUGCAGCGACGCCGCGUGGGUGAAGGAGCGUUUCGGCGCGUAAAGCCCUAUCGGCAGGGAAGAAGAUGACGGUACCUGACCAAGAAGCCCCGGCUAACUACGUGCCAGCAGCCGCGGUAAUACGUAGGGGGCAAGCGUUAUCCGGAUGUACUGGGUGUAAAGGGGGCGCAGACGGCAAUGCAAGCCAGGAGUGAAAGCCCGGGGCCCAACCCCGGGACUGCGCUUGGAACUGCAUGGCUGGAGUACAGGAGGGGCAGGCGGAAUUCCUAGGGUAGCGGUGAAAUGCGUAGAUAUUAGGAGGAACACCGGUGGCGAAGGCGGCUUACUGGACUGUAACUGACGUUGAGGCUCGAAAGCGUGGGGAGCAAACAGGAUUAGAUACCCUUGUAGUC